This 429-nucleotide long non-coding RNA is filed under the name Capra hircus (goat). RNAcentral's name for it is "lncRNA (ENSCHIG00000000584.1)". The record is from RNAcentral. Lineage: Eukaryota; Metazoa; Chordata; Mammalia; Artiodactyla; Bovidae.
GUCAAUUUCCAUAUGAAAGCAGCUGAGAUCUCUUUCCCCAUUUUGGAAUUCCAGGCAACACCCUGGGCUCCGAUUUCUCAGACUCGAGGUUUUUGCCCAACUUUCCCCCACCCCCACCUCCCGACCCACCCCUAAUCUGCUCCUAUUCCCCUUUCUCUGGCUACCGGAUUUCCAGUUCUUCCAGCGCACUACUCUAGCCCAAGAAAGCAUCUGUGAACUCAGCUCCAGAACAACUGGCUUCAUGUUUCUCUGAGCUGAUGGUGUCCCAGAGAAACAGCCUGGACAUCACUGGACAUGCAGGCCCUAAGCAAAAACAUAUGUGCACGUCUCUGCCUUGGAAUCCAAUGGCCUUUAAGGAAAUGGAUCUAUCUCUGUGGAAGAGGAAAGGGGGAAGAACUGCAAGGGCCCCACAGUUUGCAGGGAAGGUGC